UACAGAGGGUGCAAGCGUUACUCGGAGUUACUGGGCGUAAAGGGCGCGUAGGUUGUAUUGUAAGUUAGUUGUGAAAUCCCCGGGCUUAACCUGGGAAUUGCAACUAAGACUGUGAUACUAGAGUACUGUAGAGGGUAGUGGAAUUUCCGGUGUAGCGGUGAAAUGCGUAGAGAUCGGAAGGAACACCAGUGGCGAAGGCGGCUACCUGGACAGAUACUGACACUGAGGCGCGAGAGCGUGGGGAGCAAACAGG
RNAcentral lists this ribosomal RNA (253 nucleotides) under uncultured bacterium. Its description in RNAcentral is "partial 16S ribosomal RNA". It matches the Rfam family "Bacterial small subunit ribosomal RNA", at positions 524 to 776 of the family's 1533-position model. The record is from RNAcentral.